This 999-nucleotide long non-coding RNA is filed under the name Homo sapiens (human). Its description in RNAcentral is "HSALNT0026014". Lineage: Eukaryota; Metazoa; Chordata; Mammalia; Primates; Hominidae. The record is from RNAcentral.
UAGGUUUGGAAGUCACCAAGUUUCAGUGCGGGGAGGUUCCGGGCAGCAAGUAGUUAGGCGGCUGCUCCACCCGCUUGCCCCAGGCCCCAGACGUCUGGCACCAGGCGUCAGCACCAGGGAUUCCAGAUGAAGGUUCCAGCGAAAGCUUUAGAAGGGCUUCAAACCGAGCUCCGGGAGGCCCUGACAUUUUUUAUCAGGACAUCAGCUAGAAGGGCCUUUUCCUGGAGAACAUUACAGUUGGAAAUAACUAAAUAAGUGAAACUUUCGAAGGGGGAUAUGGUUAACAAGACACACAGAUUGGGAAGAAAAAUAAGUAAUUUGAGAGGAGGUGGGAGUGUGUGUAGAAGCUUUGUUGCAGCUGGAAGGUGCUAGGAUGAGAACUCACGACAAAGAGCUGCGGGUGGGAAGAGCCCAGCCAGGUGCUGUCUGCGAUUCAGUAUCCUCUGAACAUCAGCUCCACACAGCCAGGGGCAAACAGUUUCCUUCACAAGUUAGAACUUUAAGUUUGGAGACUCUUCUUAAAUUUCACUGAAGUGGAGUGAGAACUGAAGUGGUGGCAAAAAAGGAUGCUCAGGGCACUGCACAUGAGAGAGAAGUCUCAACAGCUGCAGAGGAACCUCCACUUCCCUCCCUCUUCUGCCCCAUCCUCCCUGCAUCUACUGGCUGCCCAGCGCUUGACACGACUCAGCUCAGGGAGCAGGAUCGGGGAAAGGAGCCCUCCUGCCUAACCCUCAACGCAGAAAGAGCAGCGGCUGCGCCAGGACUCCCCAUGAAGUGAAGUGGAAACGAUUUCACAGCAAAUGGGGUGGAUGGCCAGGGGCUCCUGUCAGGUCUGAGACCCGGGGCCGGGAGUGGGCUGGGCAUGUGAGCAGGGCCCCAAACCAUGGGCAUUGGUUCCUGCUUCCUCUACUGUUUCUAUUUUGGCACCUGCUUGAAAGCAGUUCUUCAUCAUCUGGCUAGAUUGUCACAGUUUGGGGUAAAAGAGAAAUAAAACAGGCA